GAUGAACGCUGGCGGCGUGCCUAAUACAUGCAAGUCGAGCGAACAGACGAGGAGCUUGCUCCUCUGACGUUAGCGGCGGACGGGUGAGUAACACGUGGAUAACCUACCUAUAAGACUGGGAUAACUUCGGGAAACCGGAGCUAAUACCGGAUAAUAUAUUGAACCGCAUGGUUCAAUAGUGAAAGACGGUUUUGCUGUCACUUAUAGAUGGAUCCGCGCCGCAUUAGCUAGUUGGUAAGGUAACGGCUUACCAAGGCAACGAUGCGUAGCCGACCUGAGAGGGUGAUCGGCCACACUGGAACUGAGACACGGUCCAGACUCCUACGGGAGGCAGCAGUAGGGACUCUUCCGCAAUGGGCGAAAGCUUGACGGAGCAACGCCGCGUGAGUGAUGAAGGUCUUCGGAUCGUAAAACUCUGUUAUUAGGGAAGAACAAAUGUGUAAGUAACUAUGCACGUCUUGACGGUACCUAAUCAGAAAGCCACGGCUAACUACGU
Molecule: ribosomal RNA, 496 nt
Filed under: uncultured bacterium
Lineage: Bacteria
Description: partial 16S ribosomal RNA
Rfam family: Bacterial small subunit ribosomal RNA
Source: RNAcentral